GGCCUCCGCACUCUUCUCCGCUCCCACCUUCCAAGGCCUCCGCCCCCUCAAACCCACUGACUCCCCAUCCCUCAAGUUCCCCAAGACCGCCUCCAUAUCCAUCGCUGUCAAACCGGCCCGCCGUGUCUCCGUCCGCGCUGAUCUCAGCCCUCCCCUUGUCAUCAGCCUCAGCACAGGGCUUUCUCUCUUCCUCGGCCGCUUCGUCUUCUUCAACUUCCAACGUGAGAACGUCGCAAAGCAGGGCCUGCCGAAGCAGAAUGGCGUGAGCCACUACGAAGCCGGCGAUGUCCGUGCCAAGGAGUAUAUAGGAAUCCUCAAGUCCAAUGACCCUGUAGGGUUUAACAUCGUCGAUGUGCUUGCAUGGGGAUCUAUUGGCCACAUCGUCGCCUACUAUAUUCUUGCUACGUCUAGCAAUGGCUAUGACCCCAAUUUCUUUGGUUGAGGGAUAGUUAUAUAUUUGUACAUUGAUGAAGAUGUGGGAGCCUAGUUAAUGUAUU
RNAcentral lists this unclassified non-coding RNA (497 nucleotides) under Hevea brasiliensis (rubber tree). Lineage: Eukaryota; Viridiplantae; Streptophyta; Magnoliopsida; Malpighiales; Euphorbiaceae. The record is from RNAcentral.